RNAcentral lists this ribosomal RNA (438 nucleotides) under uncultured bacterium. RNAcentral describes it as "bacterial SSU rRNA". It matches the Rfam family "Bacterial small subunit ribosomal RNA", at positions 958 to 1398 of the family's 1533-position model. The record is from RNAcentral.
AACGCGAAGAACCUUACCUGGGCUUGACAUGUGAGUGACAGGUGUGGAAACACACCCUCCCUUCGGGGCACUUUCACAGGUGGUGCAUGGCUGUCGUCAGCUCGUGUCGUGAGAUGUUGGGUUAAGUCCCGCAACGAGCGCAACCCCCGUCGCAUGUUGCCAGCAUUCAGUUGGGGACUCAUGCGAGACUGCCGGUGACAAACCGGAGGAAGGUGGGGAUGACGUCAAGUCCUCAUGCCCCUUAUGUCCAGGGCUACACACGUGCUACAUUGGCGCAUACAGAGGGCUGCGAUACCGCGAGGUGGAGCGAAUCCCUUAAAGUGCGUCUCGGUUCGGAUUGCAGGCUGAAAUUCGCCUGCAUGAAGGCGGAGUUGCUAGUAAUCGCGGAUCAGCAUUGCCGCGGUGAAUACGUUCCCGGGCCUUGUACACACCGCUGUA